AAGUCGUAACAAGGUUUCCGUAGGUGAACCUGCGGAAGGAUCAUUACCAAAAAGGAUACCCUCACCGGUAUACCCCACCCGUGUCUAUCUACUCUUGUUGCUUUGGCAGGCCGUGGUCUCCCACUGUGGGCUCUGCCUGCAUGUGCCUGCCCGAGGACCAAACUCUGAAUUUUAGUGAUGUCUGAGUACUAUAUAAUAGUUAAAACUUUCAACAACGGAUCUCUUGGUUCUG
Molecule: unclassified non-coding RNA, 232 nt
Filed under: Leotiomycetes sp.
Lineage: Eukaryota; Fungi; Ascomycota; Leotiomycetes
Description: partial contains small subunit ribosomal RNA, internal transcribed spacer 1, and 5.8S ribosomal RNA
Rfam family: Eukaryotic small subunit ribosomal RNA (bases 1-46)
Source: RNAcentral